Molecule: transfer RNA, 87 nt
Filed under: Coniella lustricola
Lineage: Eukaryota; Fungi; Ascomycota; Sordariomycetes; Diaporthales; Schizoparmaceae
Rfam family: tRNA
About the family: Transfer RNA (tRNA) molecules are approximately 80 nucleotides in length. Their secondary structure includes four short double-helical elements and three loops (D, anti-codon, and T loops).
Source: Rfam by way of RNAcentral
UCCGAUAUGGUGUAAUGGCUAACAUCCGACGCUCUCACUUACAAGUAAGGGUCCGUCGAGCUCGGGGUUCGAUUCCCCGUAUCGGAG